Long non-coding RNA from Tachysurus fulvidraco (yellow catfish), 185 nucleotides. RefSeq lists it as uncharacterized. The transcript is spliced from 2 exons. The record is from RefSeq and is a predicted model, not a curated record. NCBI's taxonomy places the organism in Eukaryota, Metazoa, Chordata, Actinopteri, Siluriformes, Bagridae.
AAACACACAUCCGAACACACACAGACACACACAGGUCCACAUGGAAGGGGAAAGUCAGCCUGUCAGGAACCAUGACAUGAAACGGUAUGAUGUGUAAGUAUACAUUCCACAGUUGAAGUGGAUUCAUCUUCAAGCCUCAGUGACGUUCUAGAGAACUAAAACAGAUCGGCUUGUAUUGUUUCCAU